UACGGAGGAUGCAAGCGUUAUCCGGAAUUAUUGGGCGUAAAGCGUCCGCAGGUGGCACUUCAAGUCUGCUGUCAAAGACCGGGGCUUAACCCUGGAAAGGCAGUGGAAACUGAAGCGCUAGAGUGCGGUAGGGGUAGAGGGAAUUCCCGGUGUAGCGGUGAAAUGCGUAGAGAUCGGGAAGAACAUCGGUGGCGAAAGCGCUCUACUGGACCGCAACUGACACUCAGGGACGAAAGCUAGGGGAGCGAAUGGG
This 253-nucleotide ribosomal RNA is filed under the name uncultured bacterium. RNAcentral's name for it is "partial 16S ribosomal RNA". It matches the Rfam family "Bacterial small subunit ribosomal RNA", at positions 524 to 776 of the family's 1533-position model. The record is from RNAcentral.